UACGGGAAGAGCCUCCAUAGAACGUGGUUAAACGCGUCUGAAGUUCAAAUAUCCACGGGGUUCUACAGAGACGGGAGGUACGGAGUGUGGAGGUGUGACUGUCUAAACUUUCAAUAUUCUCCACUACGUCUUUCCAACAACAGAAUACUACCUUUCGUUAACCAACAAUCUCUCAUACCGCCACGAAACCGGAUGGUGUUAGAUCUAUUCCAUCUUCUAUACUGAUAACGUGUACAUAGCGUGUAUAGUGACUCUCUGUAACUUUUCAAAUUUAGGGAUUGUUUUCACAGACAGCCUUCUACGCUGCCAAACAAGGGACUUCUCGACCUACCGUCAUAACAGAAGGUAAGUCAAUUCUCAGAGUCUAAUUUACAUAGAGUAGAAUGGUCGUCGUUUAGUAGUAGCAGUUUUCACGAUUUGACAAAGGGUCGAUAAAGACACAACCACUAUUGAUCGAUACUCUUUACACAUUACGUCAACGGCAACGGUAGUAGGUCGAGUGACGUCCUUGAUUGGAAGACCCUGACAUUCUCCGACCAAGAACACGGACACCUCCUCUUACCUCCUCCUUAAGUUUCAAAAUCUAUCGCGCGAUAUCGCCGCGAUGUGCGUAGGACUGACACCACGCGAUGCGCUUCGAGCUAAAGUGCAUGCUUCUCAAUCGCACGAUUAUCGCGCGAUCUACAGUAAAUCGCGACUUUUAACCCGGAGAUCGCAAUCGCAGGGCGCAGAAACUAGAUUUUAAAAGCCGGGUUUUACUUUAGCGAUGCGCCCGGUUUCGGGUUCGGAUGGUUAUCAGCUUAUGAUACGGGGGUUGGGAGGAGAGCUCGCUUUGGGAUAGGGGUGAGGGCAGGAGUAGAGUUUGUCCUUGGUACCGCCGCCGGCUGGUUGCUGGUUGGUACCGCUGCCGGAGCUCGACGAUGAGGCCGCUGACUGGAAGGAGCGGUGAGGGAGGGUCGCUGCCCCAUAAGGUGAUAAGGAAGGUGGUCCGCUGCGUCGAGGGCCUGCAAAGGAGAGCCGACGAGGGAGGACCGGUGAAGGAGACGACUGCCGCUGCUGGCGUAGGUGUUCCGCUGCCUCGUGGGGCGCCGCUGCCACAGGUGGUCCGCUGGUACUCGGUCGUUUAGGGCAGUCGUCCACAACCACCGAGUUCGUGACGGAGUCAUCGUCGUGGACGUGAGGGAGUUCAACUAAGCCUACUGGGACGCACCUUCAUAACGGGAGAAGGUCUACACUUGUUCUUCGUAACCGUCGCUACGUUGAAAACACCGUUCUAUACGUGUCGACCGUAAUGUUCCUAUUUCAAAGUGGAAAGUGUUUAUUGCUUAACACCACAGAAUGGUACGUUCUUCCAAGGAUCACUACAGUCCGACCUCUACUAUCGAAACGAGGAUUUCUCACGACUCGACUUCCUUUUUUUCUAGCUCCCUAACCUCCGCGAGUCUAGAUCACAACUGAAUCUAGUGAGGCUACCUCUUGUUCCUUGACUACUUCUUCUACCGUUAGUCCAACACUAAAACUCCGGUUUUGGUCCGUGUUCGUCGAGUUACCCACCGGGAUACCUGUUUAAGACGUUCGGAUCAUAUCUUCUUUGACAGUUCUCCUUCGUUUUUUCUUUAACACUUAUGCUUUUCCAAGUCAGCUUCAACAGUUGAGUCCUUUCUGUUGUCUCCUCCCUAUCUCGAACACCUAUAUAUACAGUUAAAAAGAUACUUCGAUCGUAGGGUGUAUUGUGACAGUGUGAAGGAUCGAAACGUACAUACGAAGUCCGGUAACCUCUACAACCGUGUUUGAAGCUACCCGGAUGACGUAUACUCUACUCACCUGGUAAGAACGUCUUUUCCUUCUUCUUCCACAAUCUAAGUAAGUUUGGUGUAUUCGUUCGUACCCUCGUGUGUCCAACAUGGCAUUACUGUCUACGUACCUGUCUAUUUUUCCCGUCCCCCCAUUACUUGGAUCAACACGUAUCAAGAGUUCCUCAGUAUAAGAACUUAAGUCAACUAACAAGUAGACAGGUUUUUUACCGUUUAUGUAGAAACUGGAGCAACUAUUAACGUAACUUCUAUAUCCCCGUCUGUUUCAGCAAGUUCACCACUGGCUGUUACGAUCACAGUUAUAUCGUCGUCGUUCAGAUUACUUUCGUUUCGCUGGAAGGUAAAAACCUUACCUACACGUCGGGUAACAUAACUAGAGUACAACCUCCUGUAUCCCUUCGAACCUAGCCAACUGUUUUAUUAAUGGGUUCGUUCUGUUCAUUGCCACAAGAACAUACGAGUGUGUUCCCACAAUAGAGACUACUCCUUUUGUGAACCCUUUCUGAACCAUACCAGUCCAUAAUGAUCCAAACGGUGCCGAAUAGAGUUAGAAUUUUCGAACGUUCUGUUGUUCUUCCUUUACGAAUUUGAUAAGUCUAACCUACUCGAUGUACUUUACCCAAUGAAUCUCUUCCUGUUCCCCUUCUACCGAGUGUUUUGCCACGUUAGCCUUCGGAAGACCUUUCCACAACCACAACGACAGUUGAUGAAACUCGGUUACCGAUUACACGAUUCUUCUUACCUAUCACUACACGGGCGUUACCCUAAGAAUAUACCAACAUACAACCUACGUUUUUUCCUUUAACGACGUUCAAAACUAUUACCGCUCUCAGCGAAGUUUACACAAUAACUAUAGUAACUGUUCUCUACCCUGUCGUUUGAGUUCAGCGGUAAUGUAAACCGACCCAUGAAAGACUUGGGGAUGAUAAUAAUAGGUUUGUUCCAACACUAUCUCUCCCUACCUAGUAAAUCUCGUCGGCACCAGGUAACGUAGUGUUCCUACUAACUUCGAGUUUUUUGAGUUCUACUCGAAUAACUACUUGAGCUGUUUAUGCUCCGCCUCCUUCUAAGGAAACCUUACCUGUAACAACAUGCUGUCUCUUUUUCCUUUUUGAAAAGAGGUCGUUUUACCACCGACUUAAUACCGUGUACACGUGGGGACAACUUCCUGAACCGUUACUUCUAAAACUCAAACUGUACAUCGAGGAGUCGAACACUCUCUUUAACCAGUCGUAAACUUGUUCAAGUAUGUUUCUUUGCGUCGUCCGAUGAGGUACUAUCCUACUCACUAGAACAUAAAUAGUUCAAGUUGAGAUCCUACUUCGUAUUCUCUCUCUUGUUCUCAUCUCUGGGUUAUCUCUUCUGCUAGCAACUACAAGAACUCCUGCUCCUAUUACUCAAGUAGUGGCCGUAACAACCUUUACUAUUACAACAACUUGUACAACCACUACUUCUAGUUUGAGUUGUUCUCUCUCGAAGUUGUAGUGUUCUUGUUCCCUUUUUCUUCUUCUCCGGAUGACGCGGGGGAUCUUUCUUCUCCUUUUUCUCGAACGUUAGAGAGGAAUUAUCACAGCUACUCCUUCGAUAUGAAAGACGGAGAAGGUUAAGAAGAAGCAGCCUUAGUCUUCUACUCAGAGGGAGCCGGGAACGACUGAGCCUAAUUAACGUACCAACCCACAUGGUGAAAACAACAAAGUUUCACACGACCACCAUACAACAAUACAACGAUACAGUUCAAUCAACCGACUUGAAUAUUUGGCCUGGUAGAGUACAACAAAUACAUGGUGAAAACAAUAAGUUUCACACGACCACCAUACAACGAUCAACGAUCCGGUUUGAAACGAGACAAUACAUUACUUAACUUGGUAGAGGACUAUAUACAGGAAUAAUACAUACCAUCCUUGAUGUAUUAUGAUACAAUACACCGACAAACGUACUCAUACCAUCCUUGAUGUAUUAUGUCAUAGUAAAAAGAUAAUUGAACCGACAUACCAUCAACUAUAUACAGGUAAAAGUUCAUAUAUAUACAGUUCAACUACUGACUAAGAUACAAAUAAAAAAGUGAAAAAUAACUAAAUAUGACUUUGCGAUUUACCCCGAAUCGUGCGAUAUCGACGCGAUAUCGCAAAGUAUCGAGAACCAGUCCGGCUGCGAUUCUCCGAAUCGCGCGAUAGAUUUUGAAACCUCCUUAAGUCCUCCUGUUCAGUAACGAGGACUUUAAUUGUUAUAAGCCUACACCGCUUAACAAGAGAGCCACCGGGUACCCUUACCCUCUUAGUCUCUGGUAAACGGGAAAGGGACGAAGGGAUUCCCUUGAACUACAAAUGGUUCUCGGUUCGUAUUUCAGUUACCCAGACGAGAGUUUGGAGUGUAGAGAGUGGUGAGAUUCCGAUUUCCUCACGUCAUUAGAUUGUCACCUGCCUAAGUUAGGAGAGUAGCGUCAGUUGGAGUAUCUCGACGUUCACGUAUCCACGUUGUGGAGAUCUAAUCGUCGUCUAUACGAGAGUCUCCACCGGAGAGUCUCCCGGUUUAAUAACGGACGUCCAAUGUAGAGAUCUAACCUCUUUGAGUAAUACUUACUGUACACACCUAACGAACAACGAGGAUAAACGUUGGAGGAGCGGGGCCGGGAGGUGUGUGAACUUAAGACGAUACUACUCUCGUGCCUUUCGAAGUGCCUUCUCGUUCUCUUUCGCGAUGUCGAGGAGUGGAGGGAGGUCUUAGAUUCAAAAAGUCCGACGACGCUAGACGUUAGGGAAGGAGUUCCCAAUGUAGCGGAAAGAACAGAGUUCCUCAAUGCACAGAAACCCACAGCUCUUUAGGACAGCUACGGGUUCCUCCCAGAGGGCCAAAGAGACUCUUUUGAUCUCUACUUAACACCGUCGCGACUCUAUCUACUCGAUUAAUUUUUUUAGUUGUCUUGGUCGGUCUAAAUAGGCAGAGAACUUCCUAUUGUUGUGUCUUCUGAUCGUUAGAAAAGACGUGUGUUCAAUAGUUUGGACGUGUAAUUAGUCGUCCACGCUCUAUAAAACGUUGCGUUACGAUCGACAAUUGAGAAGUAAGACGAUGUACUAGCUAUAAAGAGACGUUCAGUUUAGACGGCCGUUGCCGAACACAAGGUGAGUGAACCAUGGGUAGUUCUUCUUCUGAACUGAACACGAGAAAAAAGCGUACCUUAAAUUGACAACCGUAGUCAAGUUCCUUCUCCAACUACGACGGACGACGAAACAUUUAAUUUUUCGUCGAGAGACUACAUGAGGCUUCUCAGGACCACCACGUCUUACGUUGGAUACGACCCCGUCUCAUGACUUUGAUAACUUGGGUCGAUGCAUGUAUGUCAGAACGUCCCUCUAACGUACGUAUGUCCAAAUCCAAACUAACCGACCGUAACUAGGAACUGAGAUAGAUUCAGGGUCAUCGUUUAAAGUGUCGACUAAGCCUCGUUUGUUUGUUUGUUUGUUUGUCUUCACUUCGUUAACAGACAGAACUAUACGACUUUCUAGUUUAUAACUGCAUUCACUACCGAGCGUCACCCUACAGCAAGGAAGUAAAUUUCUUCACCCGAAAUUAAACACCUACGUCGCCGUCGAUUGUCUCGUCUCGUCUCGUAAGGUUCUAGGUUUGCCACGGUUCCACGCUCCACCAAUAACCCUAAGUCGUGGUCGCAGCGUGCUGAACUCGUAAAAAACAAAGAGGAGACAUCUAAUUUAACCAUACCAUCUUAACAAAAAAAAAAUAAGGGUCACAAGGCUAGUACUAAAACAAGGUACUGGUGCCUGGUUGACUAGCUACUACGGUUACGAUCGGUCAUGUAAGUGCGAACGAAUUACACAUUCUAAACCGUCGAAGUGUAGACUUAGACUAUAACUUCCGUUUUCAACAUACCAAUUAAUUAAGGAGUCACCGUCGUUACACUCACUCACGAAAGUUGAAACCCCGGAACGAUGAAGAGGAACGAACGGUAGUCGACGACGUCGUCAUCUCCUAAACACACGAAAUUUCCUAGAGGCCCUUAUUUAGUUACAUGUAAACUCUAAACAACAAAUGAUAGAAACAUACCAUUAGAUGUGUAG
This 5887-nucleotide ribosomal RNA is filed under the name Triticum aestivum (bread wheat). RNAcentral describes it as "partial small subunit ribosomal RNA". Lineage: Eukaryota; Viridiplantae; Streptophyta; Magnoliopsida; Poales; Poaceae. The record is from RNAcentral.